GUUAGGAAUAUUGGACAAUGGACGCAAGUCUGAUCCAGCCAUGCCGCGUGAGUGAUGAAGGCCUUCGGGUUGUAAAGCUCUUUAGCCGAUGAUUAUAAUGACUGUAGUCGGAAAAUAAGCCCCGGCUAACUUCGUGCCAGCAGCCGCGGUAAUACGAAGGGGGCGAGCGUUAUUCGGAAUCACUGGGCGUAAAGCGUGCGUAGGCGGUUUUGUAAUUUGGGAGUGAAAGCCCAGGGCUCAACCCUGGAAUUGCUCUCAAAACUACAAGACUUGAAUUCGGGAGAGGAUAGCGGAAUUGUCAGUGUAGCAGUGAAAUGCGUAGAUAUUGACAGGAACACCAGUGGCGUAAGCGGCUAUCUGGACCGACAUUGACGCUGAGGCACGAAAGCGUGGGGAUCAAACAGGAUUAGAUACCCUGGUGGUCC
RNAcentral lists this ribosomal RNA (425 nucleotides) under uncultured bacterium. RNAcentral describes it as "partial 16S ribosomal RNA". It matches the Rfam family "Bacterial small subunit ribosomal RNA", at positions 354 to 796 of the family's 1533-position model. The record is from RNAcentral.